This 250-nucleotide ribosomal RNA is filed under the name uncultured bacterium. RNAcentral's name for it is "partial 16S ribosomal RNA". It matches the Rfam family "Bacterial small subunit ribosomal RNA", at positions 524 to 773 of the family's 1533-position model. The record is from RNAcentral.
UACGGAGGGUGCAAGCGUUAUCCGGAUUCACUGGGUUUAAAGGGUGCGUAGGUGGGUAUGUAAGUCAGUGGUGAAAUCUCCAGGCUUAACCUGGAAACUGCCGUUGAUACUAUAUAUCUUGAAUAUCCUGGAGGUGAACGGAAUAUGUCAUGUAGCGGUGAAAUGCUUAGAUAUGACAUAGAACACCCAUUGCGAAGGCAGUUCACUACGGGAUUAUUGACACUGAGGCACGAAAGCGUGGGGAUCAAAC